UACGGAGGGUGCAAGCGUUAUCCGGAUUCACUGGGUUUAAAGGGUGCGUAGGUGGGUUGGUAAGUCAGUGGUGAAAUCUCCGUGCUUAACAUGGAAACUGCCAUUGAUACUACUGAUCUUGAAUUUUCAGGAGGUAAGCGGAAUAUGGUCAUGUAGCGGUGAAAAUGCUUAGAUAUGACAUAGAACACCAAUUGCGAAGGCAGCUUCUACAGGAAUAUUGACACUGAUGCACGAAAGCGUGGGGAUCAAACAGG
RNAcentral lists this ribosomal RNA (254 nucleotides) under uncultured bacterium. Its description in RNAcentral is "partial 16S ribosomal RNA". It matches the Rfam family "Bacterial small subunit ribosomal RNA", at positions 524 to 776 of the family's 1533-position model. The record is from RNAcentral.